CUGGUUUACAAGGCUCUCCACCCUGCUGAGGCCCUCCACCCUGCCAACUGGGUCGAACUCCUCUGGCUAGCAAGGUCACAAGAUCAACCCCGGUACCCGGCCUAUCCCAAAUAAACCUCAUGUGACUGCA
Long non-coding RNA from Mastomys coucha (southern multimammate mouse), 130 nucleotides. RefSeq lists it as uncharacterized. The record is from RefSeq and is a predicted model, not a curated record. The transcript is spliced from 2 exons. Lineage: Eukaryota; Metazoa; Chordata; Mammalia; Rodentia; Muridae.